Molecule: ribosomal RNA, 253 nt
Filed under: uncultured bacterium
Lineage: Bacteria
Description: partial 16S ribosomal RNA
Rfam family: Bacterial small subunit ribosomal RNA
Source: RNAcentral
UACGGAGGGUGCAAGCGUUACUCGGAAUUACUGGGCGUAAAGCGUGCGCAGGCGGUUUGUUAAGCGAGAUGUGAAAGCCCUGGGCUCAACCUAGGAAUAGCAUUUCGAACUGGCGAACUAGAGUCUUGUAGAGGGGGGUAGAAUUCCAGGUGUAGCGGUGAAAUGCGUAGAGAUCUGGAGGAAUACCGGUGGCGAAGGCGGCCCCCUGGACAGAGACUGACGCUCAUGCACGAAAGCGUGGGGAGCAAACAGG